UACAGAGGGUGCAAGCGUUAAUCGGAAUUACUGGGCGUAAAGCGUGCGUAGACGGUUGCGUAAGUCAGAUGUGAAAGCCCCGGGCUCAACCUGGGAAUUGCAUUUGAGACUGCGUAGCUAGGGUGCGGAAGAGGGAAGCGGAAUUUCCGGUGUAGCGGUGAAAUGCGUAGAUAUCGGAAGGAACACCAGUGGCGAAGGCGGCGUUCUGGACUGCAACUGACACUGAUGAACGAAAGCCAGGGGAGCAAACGGG
Molecule: ribosomal RNA, 253 nt
Filed under: uncultured bacterium
Lineage: Bacteria
Description: partial 16S ribosomal RNA
Rfam family: Bacterial small subunit ribosomal RNA
Source: RNAcentral